AGUCGUGUGGUCUAAUGGUUAUGAUUUCUCGUUCACAAAUUGUGAGCUUGCUUGAUUAUUCAAUCCGAGAAGGUUCCCGGUUCGAUCCCGGGCACGACUA
Molecule: non-coding RNA, 100 nt
Organism: Penicillium egyptiacum
Lineage: Eukaryota; Fungi; Ascomycota; Eurotiomycetes; Eurotiales; Aspergillaceae
Source: the annotation of a GenBank genome assembly